This 300-nucleotide ribosomal RNA is filed under the name uncultured bacterium. RNAcentral describes it as "bacterial SSU rRNA". It matches the Rfam family "Bacterial small subunit ribosomal RNA", at positions 334 to 651 of the family's 1533-position model. The record is from RNAcentral.
CUGGCCUACGGGGCGCAGCAGUGGGGAAUAUUGCACAAUGGGGGAAACCCUGAUGCAGCGACGCCGCGUGAGUGAGGAAGUAUUUCGGUAUGUAAAGCUCUAUCAGCAGGAAAGAUAAUGACGGUACGUGACUAAGAAGCCCCGGCUAACUACGUGCCAGCAGCCGCGGUAAUACGUAGGGGGCGAGCGUUAUCCGGAAUUACUGGGUGUAAAGGGAGCGUAGACGGUAAUGCAAGUCUGGAGUGAAAGGCGGGGGCCCAACCCCCGGACUGCUCUGGAAACUGUGUAACUGGAGUGAAG